AGGGCCUUGUGCAUGCUAAAUACAUGAUGUGCCCCUAAGCUGUACUCUACCCCCUCAGAGUUCUAAUUUUGAGGCCUGAGCUGAGGGGCAGAUACUGGAGACCUCAGAGCCCGAUCUGAAGACCCUAUGGUUGUUGUCUCCCAUUCCCAGGCCUACCAGCCCCACCAUCCUGUUGAGACUGGGUGGGAGAGAGGGAUUAUUCCUGGCUGAGCUAGAAUGGGUGUGUGUUUUAGGAACCAGUGACUUUUGCGGAUGUGGCGGUUGUGUUCACAGCAGAAGAGUGGGUUUUCCUGGACUCUUCUCAGAGAAGCUUGUACAGAGAUGUGAUGCUGGAAAACUAUAGGAACCUGGCCUUCUUGGGUAAGUCUGGCUUUGUUGCCUCCUCAUGCAGCCACCAUGGGUUCUAGAAACAGUGUUUGGGAGAUCAGGAGGCAAAUAGGCCAGGCCAUCCUCAUGAUGCUUCCAGUGGCC
RNAcentral lists this long non-coding RNA (471 nucleotides) under Marmota monax (woodchuck). The record is from RNAcentral. Lineage: Eukaryota; Metazoa; Chordata; Mammalia; Rodentia; Sciuridae.